RNAcentral lists this small RNA (1564 nucleotides) under Histoplasma capsulatum. RNAcentral's name for it is "hypothetical RNA". Lineage: Eukaryota; Fungi; Ascomycota; Eurotiomycetes; Onygenales; Ajellomycetaceae. RNAcentral also lists the same sequence under 1 other name. The record is from RNAcentral.
GGGAGGUUUAGUUAUUCAUUCGGUUGCGGUUGUAAAUUCCACGUCCCAACUGGGUAGAACCUUGGAUCUAGUCCUUUUGUUUUCAGAGAUUGGUGUCAUAAAUACACAAGACUGACAGACCUCAAUGCCAAUUGAUAUGGAUCUGGGACAUGCAAUUCGGAAUAGUCUGAUAGCGUAGUGGACAAGAUAACUCUUCACACAAGGCAUGAAAGCCACCGAGGGGAAAGGCUGCACCGCACAAGUGGGUACGAUUUCAACCAUAUAUCCCCUUAUCGUCUUGUGGGAACCGCCUCGACAGUCAUCCUGCCAUAUUCCUCUAAUUGAACAUCCGCCUCUUGUUCAAGGAGAUGUGUUAUAACGUUCUCAUGACUGCCCUUCCUCUCUGUCUAGUGCAAUGUGCGAUCCUUCUUGAAUCACUCUACGAAUACCAAAUUCUCUACAACAGGACACCGACCGUGGCAAGAUAAGCAUGGCCGUCUAUUCCACUCUGUCCCGUAACUCUCCUGCGCUGCAUGUGUCUUGACCAUAUAUUUAUGCAGGGAGCCGAUAGUGCCUCCAUCUUGCCUAGCUUGUAGAAUGACCCAUUCUGCUUCCAUCUGUCGCAGGUCGAGGCCACACCUGUCCACCAGAUGCGAGAUGAAAAUGGAGCUAGGCAGACUUCAAGCACGUUUGGAAGCAUGGUACUGUACAUACAUACAUACAUACAUGGAAGUGAGAAAAUAAGGCUGAAGAAUUCGACUGAGUUUUCUGUGGAACCAUUCUGCUAUCUACUAGGAGAUAGACAUACAAAAUAUGUUCUCCUCUAGGGGUGUGUCUGAAGCAUUUUUUGUCCUGGUGUUGGUUGGCGGGCGCUGGGGAUGAAUUGCGUCGAAGACCCCAGCUAGCACCGAGCGAGCUCCUGCUGGCCAUUAAUUUUGGACUGAUUCAAGCCUGCAUCCAUGACAAACUACAGGGGUUCCUUUUUGCUACACGCCCUCACCCCCAUACUAUACUACGGCAGGCCUCGAGGUGCAAUGCUGUUGUGCUAGAGGUAGAGUUGGAGGGUAAGAAUGGAGUGGGGAUUGUGUACUGACAGGAUUUUGAGAUCGAUUCUGGAGAUUAUUUGGUCAGGGUUGAAAUAUCUCAGACCACAGAAGGCUGUUGCUUCGUGGGUUUAUGUUCAUUUAUUCUGAGGGGCCAUCUUCCGGUUGGAUGCGAGAUGCCGGGGUGACGUCUAUGGGUGCGAGGGGGCCGAAAGAUGUGGGUUGAACAUGAGACAUUCUCUAUAUUCAUAGACAAGUCUAUGAGACCUCUUUUGCAGUUCUGGAAUGUAUUUUGCUGUUGCCAUGGGGAGGGUGUGAGUGUGACCUAUCCAAACCUGGGCUGAAAGCGGACAUAGUUUGGGUCUUGACUGAAGUUUUGGACUUUGGGAUAUUAUCCAUCAAUAACCCAGUGCGCUGCGCUGCAUUUGCCAAUUGGGUGAAUGAGAUAAGAUCGCUUCUGAGAAGAGAUCGAAGGUCGAUCUCUAUGUAUGUACAGCACAAGCUAAUGGAUAUGAAAAAUAAAUCACUCCGGAAAAGGGGAA